RNAcentral lists this ribosomal RNA (516 nucleotides) under Triticum aestivum (bread wheat). RNAcentral describes it as "partial small subunit ribosomal RNA". Lineage: Eukaryota; Viridiplantae; Streptophyta; Magnoliopsida; Poales; Poaceae. The record is from RNAcentral.
GUGAGUCGUCAUGAUGGCAUCAACAUCCCCGAUGGCAAGUUCUACCUAGGAGAUGUCGGAUAUGCAUGUCGCCCAGGUGUUCUUCCACCCUUCAGGAAAACAAGGUACCAUCUGAACGAGUUCUCUGGUAGGAACUAUCCUAGGACUCCUGAACUGUUCAAUCUCAGACACUCCAGCCUUCGAGUUACUGUUGAGAGGGCCUUUGGAGAUCUAAAGAACAUGUUUAAGAUCCUGGAUCAGAAGCCAUUCCACCCUUACCCUGGUCAAGCUUGUUCUUGCAUGUUGCACAUUCACAACUGGAUCCUGCAAUGGGGAAUGGAUGAACUUGUGCCGGAGGAGGAAGAUGUGACUCCUGACGAGGUGAUCAGCUCCGGCCAUGGUGUGGAGGCAUUCGACAACGAAGCAGGGAAGAACAAAAGGUUGAAGUGGGCUCAAGCAAUGUGGGAUAACAGAGGUCAGACAAGGAUCUGCAUCACAACAGCAGCAGAAGAAGAUGAUGAACUUCCACCUAGUUAG